UACGUAGGGGGCUAGCGUUGUCCGGAUUUAUUGGGCGUAAAGAGCUCGUAGGUGGUUCGGUUAGUCGGAUGUGAAAUCUCCAGGCUCAACCUGGAGGGGUCAUUCGAUACUGCCGUGACUAGAGUUCGGUAGAGGAGUGUGGAAUUCCUGGUGGAGCGGUGAAAUGCGCAGAGAUCAGGAGGAACACCCGUAGCGAAGGCGGCUCACUGGCCCGGUACUGACGCUGAGGUGCGAAAGCGUGGGGAGCAAACAGG
Molecule: ribosomal RNA, 254 nt
Filed under: uncultured bacterium
Lineage: Bacteria
Description: partial 16S ribosomal RNA
Rfam family: Bacterial small subunit ribosomal RNA
Source: RNAcentral